Long non-coding RNA from Stegostoma tigrinum, 588 nucleotides. RefSeq lists it as uncharacterized. The transcript is spliced from 4 exons. The record is from RefSeq and is a predicted model, not a curated record. NCBI's taxonomy places the organism in Eukaryota, Metazoa, Chordata, Chondrichthyes, Orectolobiformes, Stegostomatidae.
AGCAGCACAACUCAACACUUCAGCAAUUUGGUUAUGUGAACCUGUGAGACAAUUAAUCUCAAAGUUACAUUAAUGAAAAUGGUCUGACAGCUGGAAGAUCAGUCAUUGCUACAUCUGGAUUGUCCAUCUCUACCAUGUGAAAGUUACUCUUAAACCACAAAAUCCAUCGACUCCACAGACUGGGUGGAGCAAAGAAAGGGAUGGUGAAUGGAUCACUCCUGAGACAAUGCCUUCCAAACCCACUUCCAACUAGAACGACAAGGACAGCAGAUAAAUGGGCACCACCUGCAAGUUCCCCUCCAAGCCACUCACCAUCCCAACUUGGAAACAUAUUGCCGUUCCUUCAGUGUUGGUGUCAAAAUGCUGGAACCACCUCCAUAACAGCAUCAUGGGUGAAGAAGACAGCUCACCACCACUUUCUCAAAAGUGACUCGUGUAGGGUCACGAACUCUGGCCCAUCAGUCUGUGGAACAUGAACAUAAUCCUGUGUAUUUUCAAGGUACCUACAAAGGAUAUAAUCACCAAAGUAAGUGCGCAACAAAAGUUCAUGCGAUUGAUUCCUGAGAUGAGCGUAUUGUCCUGGAGGCA